UACGAAAGGUGCAAGCGUUGUUCGGAAUUAUUGGGCGUAAAGCGCACGUAGGCGGGCAAGUAUGUCGAUUGUGAAAUCCCCGGGCUUAACCUGGGAAUUGCAGUCGAAACUGCUUGUCUUGAAUACCUGAGAGGGUGGGGGAAUUCCUGGUGGAGAAGUGAAAUUCGUAGAGAUCAGGAGGAACAUCGGAGGCGAAGGCGCCUACCUGGCAGAGUAUUGACGCUGAGGUGCGAAAGCGUGGGUAGCAAACAGG
This 253-nucleotide ribosomal RNA is filed under the name uncultured bacterium. RNAcentral's name for it is "partial 16S ribosomal RNA". It matches the Rfam family "Bacterial small subunit ribosomal RNA", at positions 524 to 776 of the family's 1533-position model. The record is from RNAcentral.